GGAGAGGUGUCCGAGCGGUUGAAGGAGCCGAUCUCGAAAAUCGGUAGGCGUUGACGCGUCUCGUGGGUUCGAAUCCCACCCUCUCCGCCA
RNAcentral lists this transfer RNA (90 nucleotides) under Chloroflexota bacterium. RNAcentral describes it as "tRNA-Ser". It matches the Rfam family "tRNA". From Rfam's summary of the family: Transfer RNA (tRNA) molecules are approximately 80 nucleotides in length. Their secondary structure includes four short double-helical elements and three loops (D, anti-codon, and T loops). The record is from RNAcentral. RNAcentral also lists the same sequence under 1 other name. Lineage: Bacteria; Bacillati; Chloroflexota.